AUACGGAGGAUGCAAGCGUUACUCGGAAUCACUGGGCGUAAAGCGCGCGCAGGCGGCUAUUUAAGUUGGAUGUGAAAGCCUACGGCUCAACCGUAGAACUGCAUCCAAAACUAUUUAGCUAGAGUGUGGGAGAGGAAGAUGGAAUUAGUUGUGUAGGGGUAAAAUCCGUAGAGAUAACUAGGAAUACCAAAAGCGAAGGCAAUCUUCUGGAACACUACUGACGCUGAGGCGCGAAAGCGUGGGGAGCAAACAGGAUUAGAUACCCUAGUAGUCC
Molecule: ribosomal RNA, 274 nt
Filed under: uncultured bacterium
Lineage: Bacteria
Description: partial 16S ribosomal RNA
Rfam family: Bacterial small subunit ribosomal RNA
Source: RNAcentral